RNAcentral lists this ribosomal RNA (253 nucleotides) under uncultured bacterium. RNAcentral's name for it is "partial 16S ribosomal RNA". It matches the Rfam family "Bacterial small subunit ribosomal RNA", at positions 524 to 776 of the family's 1533-position model. The record is from RNAcentral.
UACGGAGGGGGCUAGCGUUGUUCGGAAUUACUGGGCGUAAAGCGCCCGUAGGCGGUUUGUUGCGUCGGCUGUGAAAUCCCGAGGCUCAACCUCGGGUCUGCAGUCGAUACGAGCAAACUAGAGUGUUGCAGGGGAGACUGGAAUUCCUGGUGUAGCGGUGAAAUGCGCAGAUAUCAGGAGGAACACCGGUGGCGAAGGCGGGUCUCUGGGCAACAACUGACGCUGAGGAGCGAAAGCGUGGGGAGCGAACAGG